This 1113-nucleotide ribosomal RNA is filed under the name uncultured bacterium. RNAcentral's name for it is "bacterial SSU rRNA". It matches the Rfam family "Bacterial small subunit ribosomal RNA", at positions 9 to 1104 of the family's 1533-position model. The record is from RNAcentral.
GAGUUCGAUCCUGGCUCAGGACGAACGCUGGCGGCGCGCUUAACACAUGCAAGUCGAACCGGGUCACUCUUUCGGGGGUGGCUUAGUGGCGAACGGGUGCGUAACACGUGAGCAACCUGCCCCUGUAUGGGGGAUAACCCUGGGAAACCGGGGCUAAUACCGCAUGCGCUCUGGGAGCUACCUGGCUCUUUGAGGAAAGUCCCUGAAAGGGGAUGUGCAGGGAGGGGCUCGCGGCGUAUCAGCUAGUUGGUGGGGUAACGGCUCACCAAGGCGACGACGCGUAGCCGGUCUGAGAGGACGACCGGCCACAUUGGGACUGAGAUACGGCCCAGACUCCUACGGGAGGCAGCAGUGGGGAAUCUUGCGCAAUGGGCGAAAGCCUGACGCAGCGACGCCGCGUGGGGGAGGAAGCUUUUCGGAGUGUAAACCCCUGUCAGGAGGGAAGAACGGUCACAGGAGGAAAUGCUUGUGAUUUGACGGUACCUCCAGAGGAAGCACCGGCUAACUCUGUGCCAGCAGCCGCGGUAAUACAGAGGGUGCGAGCGUUGUUCGGAAUUACUGGGCGUAAAGCGCGCGUAGGCGGCUACUUAAGUCUUACCGUGAAAUGCCGGGGCUCAACCCCGCGCACGUCGGGGGAUACUGGGGAGCUGGAGACAAGUAGAGGCGAGCGGAAUUCCGGGUGUAGCGGUGGAAUGCGUAGAGAUCCGGAAGAACACCAGAGGCGAAGGCGGCUCGCUGGGCUUGGUCUGACGCUGAGGCGCGAAAGCGUGGGGAGCGAACAGGAUUAGAUACCCUGGUAGUCCACGCCGUAAACGAUGGAUGCUAGACGCUGGGCGGAUCGACCCGGUCAGUGUCGCAGCUAACGCGAUAAGCAUCCCGCCUGGGGAGUACGGCCGCAAGGCUGAAACUCAAAGGAAUUGACGGGGGCCCGCACAAGCGGUGGAGCAUGUGGUUUAAUUCGAAGCAACGCGAAGAACCUUACCUGGGCUUGACAUGCAUUUGAAACUCCGGUGAAAGCCGGAGCCCUCUUCGGAGCAGGUGCACAGGUGCUGCAUGGCUGUCGUCAGCUCGUGUCGUGAGAUGUUGGGUUAAGUCCCGCAACGAGCGCAACCC